UGGGGAAUAUUGCACAAUGGGGGAAACCCUGAUGCAGCGACGCCGCGUGAGCGAAGAAGGUUUUCGAAUCGUAAAGCUCUGUCCUAUGAGAAGAUAAUGACGGUAUCAUAGGAGGAAGCCCCGGCUAAAUACGUGCCAGCAGCCGCGGUAAUACGUAUGGGGCGAGCGUUGUCCGGAAUUAUUGGGCGUAAAGGGUACGUAGGCGGUCUAUUAAGUCAGGUGUGAAAGCGUGAGGCUUAACCUCAUUAAGCACUUGAAACUGAUAGACUUGAGUGAAGGAGAGGAAAGUGGAAUUCCUAGUGUAGCGGUGAAAUGCGUGGAUAUUAGGAGGAAUACCGGUGGCGAAGGCGACUUUCUGGACUUUUACUGACGCUCAGGUACGAAAGCGUGGGGAGCAAACAGG
Molecule: ribosomal RNA, 403 nt
Filed under: Verrucomicrobiota bacterium
Lineage: Bacteria; Pseudomonadati; Verrucomicrobiota
Description: Verrucomicrobia bacterium partial 16S ribosomal RNA
Rfam family: Bacterial small subunit ribosomal RNA
Source: RNAcentral